RNAcentral lists this ribosomal RNA (253 nucleotides) under uncultured bacterium. RNAcentral's name for it is "partial 16S ribosomal RNA". It matches the Rfam family "Bacterial small subunit ribosomal RNA", at positions 524 to 776 of the family's 1533-position model. The record is from RNAcentral.
UACGUAGGUGGCAAGCGUUGUCCGGAUUUACUGGGCGUAAAGAGCGCGCAGGCGGCUGGUCAAGUCCGAUGUGAAAUCUCCCGGCUUAACUGGGAAACUGCAUCGGAAACUGAUCGGCUUGAAGGUGGGAGAGGGUAGUGGAAUUCCCGGUGUAGUGGUGAAAUGCGUAGAUAUCUGGAGGAACACCGGUGGCGAAGGCGGCGUUCUGGACUGCAACUGACACUGAGGAACGAAAGCCAGGGGAGCAAACGGG